GAUCAAAGGAACUAUCAUUGAGACUGCUAGGGAAUAUAUCCACCACAAGAUGCCAACCAAGAGAGCUGUUUGGCUAACUGCGAAGACCUUGCUGAUUUUGGAGAGGCAACGAGUGGCCAAGGCCAAAGGCGAGCUGGACGAGGCCAGGUGGUUGUAUGCAGUUUUCCAACGCAAGGCAUGGAUUGACAAGAACAAUGCCCACUGCACCAGUCUCAAAGAAGCUUUCAGAAAUGGCUGAACCCAAGAACUAUUUGCCACAGUGAAGCAGAUGAAAACUUCCUUUUCAGCCUGUCAGUCAGUCAUCAAAGAUUGCAAUGGCAAUGAGCUGAUUGAUCAGCAAGACAUAAAGGAGAGAUAGCAAAAAUACACUGAAAACUUGUAUACCUCCGUUGAUGACCCACAGAACAAAGAUCAGACAGACAGGGCAUCGGGAGCCAGAUCUUCUGGAGAGUGAAGUGGAGUGGGCAAUGAGACAGCUACCAAGCAACAUGGCACCAAACAUCGACGAGAUCCCUACUGAACUGCAGAUCAAUUCCUGGCGCUGCCUUGACGAUCCUUUGCCAGCAGAUUUGGAAAUCCUACAUGUAGUCUGCUGACUGGAGGCAGUCAGUUUUCAUUCCCAUAUCAAAAAAGGGAGGUACAAAGAACUGCACCAACUAUCGAACCAUUGCC
RNAcentral lists this long non-coding RNA (672 nucleotides) under Androctonus crassicauda. Lineage: Eukaryota; Metazoa; Arthropoda; Arachnida; Scorpiones; Buthidae. The record is from RNAcentral.